CACUGCUCAUCCGGUAUCACUUGGGGGGCUGGGGCCUUGGGGGUGGAGCGUGCGCUCCCGAACUCACACACGUGGUCCCUGGCAAGCUGCACUCACCCACAGGACAAAGUUUCUAUUCCUCACUGUGUGGCUUCUCCCCAAGCCACGCACAACAUGUGAUUUACCUACCAUCCAGUCUCUACUAUCACUGAGAUCUAAAACCAUAUGGUUAACCUGACCACAGCCUACUUGUGAAGCUGAGAAACCCCAGCUGGCUGCCUGAGGAGGACUCACCCAGAGAGGCCCAAAUGGCAUUUGGCAGAUGUCUGAAUCUUGGUAAGGUUGGGGGGCUCCC
This 334-nucleotide long non-coding RNA is filed under the name Fukomys damarensis (Damara mole-rat). Its description in RNAcentral is "lncRNA (ENSFDAG00000028491.1)". Lineage: Eukaryota; Metazoa; Chordata; Mammalia; Rodentia; Bathyergidae. The record is from RNAcentral.